UACGGGGGGGGCAAGCGUUGUUCGGAAUUACUGGGCGUAAAGGGCUCGUAGGCGGCCAACUAAGUCAGACGUGAAAUCCCUCGGCUUAACCGGGGAACUGCGUCUGAUACUGGAUGGCUUGAGGUUGGGAGAGGGAUGCGGAAUUCCAGGUGUAGCGGUGAAAUGCGUAGAUAUCUGGAGGAACACCGGUGGCGAAGGCGGCAUCCUGGACCAAUUCUGACGCUGAGGAGCGAAAGCGUGGGGAGCAAACAGG
RNAcentral lists this ribosomal RNA (253 nucleotides) under uncultured bacterium. RNAcentral describes it as "partial 16S ribosomal RNA". It matches the Rfam family "Bacterial small subunit ribosomal RNA", at positions 524 to 776 of the family's 1533-position model. The record is from RNAcentral.